AGGCUUAACACAUGCAAGUCGAACGCUCCGCAAGGGGAGUGGCAGACGGGUGAGUAACGCGUGGGAACAUACCCCUCGGUUCGGAAUAACUCAGGGAAACUUGAGCUAAUACCGAAUACGGUCGAGAGGCGAAAGAUUUAUCGCCGAGGGAUUGGCCCGCGUCCGAUUAGCUAGUUGGUGAGGUAAUGGCUCACCAAGGCGACGAUCGGUAGCUGGUCUGAGAGGAUGAUCAGCCACAUUGGGACUGAGACACGGCCCAAACUCCUACGGGAGGCAGCAGUGGGGAAUAUUGGACAAUGGGCGAAAGCCUGAUCCAGCCAUGCCGCGUGAGUGAUGACGGCCUUAGGGUUGUAAAGCUCUUUCAUCAGGGACGAUAAUGACGGUA
This 385-nucleotide ribosomal RNA is filed under the name grassland soil clone saf1_119. RNAcentral's name for it is "bacterial SSU rRNA". It matches the Rfam family "Bacterial small subunit ribosomal RNA", at positions 44 to 477 of the family's 1533-position model. The record is from RNAcentral.